AGUGAACGCUGGCGGUAGGCCUAACACAUGCAAGUCGAACGGCAGCACAGUAAGAGCUUGCUCUUACGGGUGGCGAGUGGCGGACGGGUGAGGAAUACAUCGGAAUCUACUUUUUCGUGGGGGAUAACGUAGGGAAACUUACGCUAAUACCGCAUACGACCUACGGGUGAAAGCAGGGGAUCUUCGGACCUUGCGCGAUUGAAUGAGCCGAUGUCGGAUUAGCUAGUUGGCGGGGUAAAGGCCCACCAAGGCGACGAUCCGUAGCUGGUCUGAGAGGAUGAUCAGCAACAAUGGAACUGAGACACGGUCCAGACUCCUACGGGAGGCAGCGGUGGGGAAUAUUGGACAAUGGGCGCAAGCCUGAUCCAGCCAUACCGCGUGGGUGAAGAAGGCCUUCGGGUUGUAAAGCCCUUUUGUUGGGAAAGAAAAGCAGCAGGUUAAUACCCCGCUGUUCUGACGGUACCCAAAGAAUAAGCACCGGCUAACUUCGUG
Molecule: ribosomal RNA, 492 nt
Filed under: uncultured bacterium
Lineage: Bacteria
Description: partial 16S ribosomal RNA
Rfam family: Bacterial small subunit ribosomal RNA
Source: RNAcentral